This 30-nucleotide non-coding RNA is filed under the name Homo sapiens (human). Lineage: Eukaryota; Metazoa; Chordata; Mammalia; Primates; Hominidae. The record is from RNAcentral.
UGCUUUACAGGUUGAUUAGGGUUUCUCACC